UUUUGGAGAAUACUGAGUGACAGAUAUUGUAAACAUCCUACACUCUCAGCUGUGGAAAGUCAGAAAGCUGGGAGAAGGCUGUUUACUCUGUCUGCCUUGGAAAUCAGCUGAAAAGAAGA
Molecule: microRNA precursor, 119 nt
Organism: Notamacropus eugenii (tammar wallaby)
Lineage: Eukaryota; Metazoa; Chordata; Mammalia; Diprotodontia; Macropodidae
Gene: MIR30C2
Product: microRNA 30c-2
Source: Ensembl